GACGAACGCUGGCGGCGUGCUUAACACAUGCAAGUCGAACGGAAAGACCCUGCUUUUGUGGGGUGCUCGAGUGGCGAACGGGUGAGUAACACGUGAGUAACCUGCCCUUGACUUUGGGAUAACUUCAGGAAACUGGGGCUAAUACCGGAUAGGAGCUCCUGCUGCAUGGUGGGGGUUGGAAAGUUUCGGCGGUUGGGGAUGGACUCGCGGCUUAUCAGCUUGUUGGUGGGGUAGCGGCUUACCAAGGCUUUGACGGGUAGCCGGCCUGAGAGGGUGACCGGCCACAUUGGGACUGAGAUACGGCCCAGACUCCUACGGGAGGCAGCAGUGGGGAAUAUUGCACAAUGGGCGGAAGCCUGAUGCAGCAACGCCGCGUGCGGGAUGACGGCCUUCGGGUUGUAAACCGCUUUCGCCUGUGACGAAGCGUGAGUGACGGUAAUGGGUAAAGAAGCACCGGCUAACUACGU
RNAcentral lists this ribosomal RNA (467 nucleotides) under uncultured bacterium. Its description in RNAcentral is "partial 16S ribosomal RNA". It matches the Rfam family "Bacterial small subunit ribosomal RNA", at positions 28 to 506 of the family's 1533-position model. The record is from RNAcentral.